GGAGCGGUAGUUCAGCUGGUUAGAACGCCACACUGUCACUGUGGAGGUCACGGGUUCGAUUCCCGUCCGUUCCGCCA
This 77-nucleotide transfer RNA is filed under the name Candidatus Peregrinibacteria bacterium RIFCSPLOWO2_01_FULL_39_12. RNAcentral's name for it is "tRNA-Asp". It matches the Rfam family "tRNA". From Rfam's summary of the family: Transfer RNA (tRNA) molecules are approximately 80 nucleotides in length. Their secondary structure includes four short double-helical elements and three loops (D, anti-codon, and T loops). Further hydrogen bonds mediate the characteristic L-shaped molecular structure. tRNAs have two regions of fundamental functional importance: the anti-codon, which is responsible for specific mRNA codon recognition, and the 3' end, to which the tRNAs corresponding amino acid is attached (by aminoacyl-tRNA synthetases). tRNAs cope with the degeneracy of the genetic code in two manners: having more than one tRNA (with a specific anti-codon) for a particular amino acid; and 'wobble' base-pairing, i.e. permitting non-standard base-pairing at the 3rd anti-codon position. Lineage: Bacteria; Candidatus Peregrinibacteriota. RNAcentral also lists the same sequence under 2 other names. The record is from RNAcentral.